This 309-nucleotide ribosomal RNA is filed under the name Triticum aestivum (bread wheat). RNAcentral's name for it is "partial small subunit ribosomal RNA". Lineage: Eukaryota; Viridiplantae; Streptophyta; Magnoliopsida; Poales; Poaceae. The record is from RNAcentral.
AUGCCUGUUGUAUCAAAAAGGAAAACUGAUUUUGAUAUUGUUCUUCAAUGUUCGGUAGUUUUCAUACUCUCAAACUUUCAAGGUCUUAAUUAUGCAGAUGGAGUCCUCUUUAUUUUUUGCUUUAAAUUUAUUGACAGUUUGUUCCCAAUAGAAGCAUGGAUUGCAUUGCCCUACACAAAGAGAACAUUAGCAAGCUUCGGAAAAGGAAAACUGAAGAGACAUUAUAUAUGUAAUACUUGGACCUUUUUAUCUCACAAAAUCUUAUCAGUGCUAAUGAGUUCAUUUGUUGAUAAGUUAAUUGUGUCCUAA